Molecule: long non-coding RNA, 275 nt
Filed under: Crocodylus porosus (Australian saltwater crocodile)
Lineage: Eukaryota; Metazoa; Chordata; Crocodylia; Crocodylidae
Description: lncRNA (ENSCPRG00005017824.1)
Source: RNAcentral
CUAAGAGAGACCGAACUUGGCUGACUGUCAUCGAGCUCUGAUGUCACCACUGAAGGUUAGAGACAUGGAGGAAGAAAGAAAACGAAAGGGCUAAUAACGCAAAGGAAACGUGAACAGCGAUGGAGUUCCAAAACUAGCAGUAUCUCUGGUAUCAAACAAGCCAGUCACUGCACCCGACCAGCCACUUCCCCAUGCUAAGAUGUACCAUAGCAGACCUCAGCCUUCCAGCCUCCUCAGCCUCCUCUGCCCCUCCUAUCAGCAGCCCAAACAGAAAG